CCCAUGAGGUCACGAAACAGUCGAGCGGAUGACGGGAGCUUGCUCCUUGAUUAGCGGCGGACGGGUGAGUAAUGCCUAGGAAUCUGCCUGGUAGUGGGGGACAACGUUUCGAAAGGAACGCUAAUACCGCAUACGUCCUACGGGAGAAAGCAGGGGACCUUCGGGCCUUGCGCUAUCAGAUGAGCCUAGGUCGGAUUAGCUAGUUGGUGGGGUAAUGGCUCACCAAGGCGACGAUCCGUAACUGGUCUGAGAGGAUGAUCAGUCACACUGGAACUGAGACACGGUCCAGACUCCUACGGGAGGCAGCAGUGGGGAAUAUUGGACAAUGGGCGAAAGCCUGAUCCAGCCAUGCCGCGUGUGUGAAGAAGGUCUUCGGAUUGUAAAGCACUUUAAGUUGGGAGGAAGGGCAGUAAGUUAAUACCUUGCUGUUUUGACGUUACCGACAGAAUAAGCACCGGCUAACUCUGUGCCAGCAGCCGCGGUAAUACAGAGGGUGCAAGCGUUAAUCGGAAUUACUGGGCGUAAAGCGCGCGUAGGUGGUUCGUUAAGUUGGAUGUGAAAGCCCCGGGCUCAACCUGGGAACUGCAUCCAAAACUGGCGAGCUAGAGUACGGUAGAGGGUGGUGGAAUUUCCUGUGUAGCGGUGAAAUGCGUAGAUAUAGGAAGGAACACCAGUGGCGAAGGCGACCACCUGGACUGAUACUGACACUGAGGUGCGAAAGCGUGGGGAGCAAACAGGAUUAGAUACC
RNAcentral lists this ribosomal RNA (748 nucleotides) under Pseudomonas monteilii. RNAcentral's name for it is "bacterial SSU rRNA". It matches the Rfam family "Bacterial small subunit ribosomal RNA", at positions 45 to 786 of the family's 1533-position model. Lineage: Bacteria; Pseudomonadati; Pseudomonadota; Gammaproteobacteria; Pseudomonadales; Pseudomonadaceae. The record is from RNAcentral.